This 494-nucleotide ribosomal RNA is filed under the name uncultured bacterium. RNAcentral describes it as "partial 16S ribosomal RNA". It matches the Rfam family "Bacterial small subunit ribosomal RNA", at positions 28 to 507 of the family's 1533-position model. The record is from RNAcentral.
GACGAACGCUGGCGGCGUGCUUAACACAUGCAAGUCGAACGGAAAGGCCUGCUUUCCCUUGUGGAUUGCGGGUACUCGAGUGGCGAACGGGUGAGUAACACGUGAGUGAUCUGCCCCCAACUUGGGUAUAAGCCUGGGAAACUGGGUCUAAUUCCCGAUAGGACUGCAGGGUGGUGCCUGUGGUGGAAAACGAUUUUCUAGUGGUUGGGGAUGAGCUCGCGGCCUAUCAGCUUGUUGGUGGGGUAAUGGCCUACCAAGGCGGCGACGGGUAGCCGGCCUGAGAGAGUGGACGGCCACGUUGGGACUGAGAUACGGCCCAGACGCCUACGGGAGGCAGCAGUGGGGAAUAUUGCACAGUGGGCGGAAGCCUGAUGCAGCGACGCCGCGUGGGGGAUGCCGGCCUUCGGGUUGUAAACUCCUUUCGACCGCGAGGAAGCCACCUGGUUGGAAGGGUGGUGACGGUAGUGGUAGAAGAAGCACCGGCUAACUACGUG